UCUUUGGUAGUAUAGAGGUUAGUAUUCCCGCUUGUCAGUUAACUUUGUUCGCGGGCGACCGGGGUUCGAUUCCCCGCCAGAGAG
Molecule: transfer RNA, 84 nt
Filed under: Tuber magnatum (white Piedmont truffle)
Lineage: Eukaryota; Fungi; Ascomycota; Pezizomycetes; Pezizales; Tuberaceae
Description: tRNA-Asp
Rfam family: tRNA
About the family: Transfer RNA (tRNA) molecules are approximately 80 nucleotides in length. Their secondary structure includes four short double-helical elements and three loops (D, anti-codon, and T loops).
Source: RNAcentral